AACUUUUAGCAACGGAUCUCUUGGUUCUGGCAUCGAUGAAGAACGCAGCGAAAUGCGAUAAGUAAUGUGUAUUGCAGAAUUCAGUGAAUCAUCGAAUCUUUGAACGCACAUUGCGCCCGCCAGUAUUCUGGCGGGCAUGCCUGUUCGAGCGUCAUUUCAACCAUCAAGCCCCCGGCUUGUGUUGGGGACCUGCGGCUGCCGCAGGCCCUGAAAACCAGUGGCGGGCUCGCUGUCACCCCGAGCGUAGUAGUUACAUCUCGCUCUGGGAGUGCUGCGGGUUCCGGCCGUUAAAAGCCUUAUUUACCCAAGGUUGACCUCGGAUCAGGUAGGAAGACCCGCUGAACUUAAGCAUAUCAAUAAGCGGAGGCU
This 369-nucleotide unclassified non-coding RNA is filed under the name uncultured Chaetomium. RNAcentral describes it as "sequence contains ITS2". The stretch from base 1 to 154 matches the Rfam family "5.8S ribosomal RNA". Lineage: Eukaryota; Fungi; Ascomycota; Sordariomycetes; Sordariales; Chaetomiaceae. The record is from RNAcentral.